CUGGGCUCAAACAAUCCUCCCACCUUAGCCUCUUGAGUAGCUGGAACUACAGGUGGCACCACCACACUUGGGCUAAUUUUUUUUUUUCUUAUUUUGUAGAGACGAGGUCUUGCCAUGUUGUGCAGGGUGAUCUUGAACUGGCUUCAAGCAAUCCUCCUACCUCAAGCUCCUAAAGAGCUCAGAUUACAGGCGUGAGCCACCGCGUGGUCCUGAAUCUGCGAUUUAAACAAGAUCCCCAGUUGACAUUAAAGUUUGCAAGGUACUCUCAUUAAGACUCACAGGGCCUUCACUAUUGGGGAUCUGCCUGAGCCUGUCCUGGUGAGCCAAGAGUCAAAAUUCAAAACCAGUUUGUUUUACCUCUCUUCAGUUCCUGCUGAUAGGAUUGUAGCAAGUUUGGAUAGCACAUUAAGAUGCUGUUGGCAGAAGAUGCCACUUCGAAACAGAAAGUACGUUCAAUCAGAUCAUAUAUUCAUCCUCUGCAUAGCAUCUACUCUAAAAGAAGAUGUACCAUUUUGAGUAAGAGGAGGUAAUACAGAAAAACAUUCGUGAAGCAUUAUCAGGU
Molecule: long non-coding RNA, 562 nt
Filed under: Homo sapiens (human)
Lineage: Eukaryota; Metazoa; Chordata; Mammalia; Primates; Hominidae
Description: HSALNT0052483
Source: RNAcentral